CUCUAUGUACUGAGCCUUUCAAACCUUUGGAAGAAGCUUCAUUGAAGAAUCUGUCCCUGAAAACAGUGUUUUUGGUGGCCAUUAACUCGGCUAAGAGGAUAGGGGAACUCCAGGCCCUUUCUUCCUCUCCUGACUUUACAAAAUUUCUUCCGGAUAAAGUGGUUAUGUACCCUAAGCCUUCCUUUCUUCUGAAAGUCAUCUCCUCCACGGUUAUAAACCAACCUAUUUUUCUUUCUUCCUUCCUUUAAUGGUCCAUCUAUGCCAGAUUGGAAAUUUGAUUGGAGCCAACUAGAUGUGGGUAGGUCUCUGAAAAUCUACUUGGAACGCUCCUCUACGUAUAGGAUGACUGAUCAUCUAUUCCAAGGCCACUUUAGCUAGAUGGCUGGUGGAUACUAUUAAAUUGGCUUAUUCUUCCUCGAAUCUACCUAUGCUUUCCUCCUUGAAAGCACAUUCUACUAGAGCCAUGGCUGCCUCUUGGGCCAAAAAAGCGUGUGCCUCUCCGGAAGAUAUAUGCAAGGCGGCUACCUUGUCUUCUUUCAACACUUUUGUCAAGCAUUACAGGCUAGACGUAUUCUCUGCCUCUGAUGCUGAUUUUGGGCACAAGGUGUUACAAGCUGUUAUUGCCUAACUUCCUGCACUUAGUAUGGGAUCUCGAUAUAUCCCUAUUGUACUGCCACCAUAUGUCAGGAAAAACUGUAAUUUUACUCACUGUAAAUUCCUUUUUCGUUAAUAUGGUGGCAGUGCAUCACUCCCUC
Molecule: non-coding RNA, 755 nt
Organism: Pelobates cultripes (western spadefoot toad)
Lineage: Eukaryota; Metazoa; Chordata; Amphibia; Anura; Pelobatidae
Source: the annotation of a GenBank genome assembly